Molecule: long non-coding RNA, 463 nt
Organism: Camelus dromedarius (Arabian camel)
Lineage: Eukaryota; Metazoa; Chordata; Mammalia; Artiodactyla; Camelidae
Exons: 3
Source: RefSeq, a predicted model, not a curated record
GAGACAGAAGGUGGGAGCUUUGGCAAGAGCACCAGGUUGCUGUUCAUAGCCUCCCAGCCCGCCUCACACAGGCUGCACACCCAGAUGCUGGGGACUGCGGCCCAGUGAAGGCAGAAUGAAAGCCCUGCCUGCAGACACCUGCAACCCAGUGGAGAACAGGGGGCCUCCACUCCCAGAGCUCAUCUCAAAUACAGAAGACCCCAAGGUUCUACUUCAAUAAAAAGAGGGGGAAAUGAUGAUAUUAAACAUGAAGACACCUAGCAGCACAUGCCUGUCAAGAAGCUGACAACAGAUGUCACCCUGCACAUAUGCUACUCCUUCCAACAGGACCUUCUUGGCUUCACCUCCUUCCCAGAAGGAUGUCACUUCCUCAGAGGCCUUCCCCAACCACCCCCUCCGACAAACUAGAGCAGAGUCACACUGUGUGCUCUACAACUGUCCUUCAGUGAGUCUGCCUCAGUUU